RNAcentral lists this ribosomal RNA (1280 nucleotides) under uncultured bacterium. RNAcentral describes it as "bacterial SSU rRNA". It matches the Rfam family "Bacterial small subunit ribosomal RNA", at positions 93 to 1399 of the family's 1533-position model. The record is from RNAcentral.
UAGUGGCGGACGGGUGAGUAACGCGUGGGUAACCUGCCUUAUACAGGGGGAUAACAGUCAGAAAUGGCUGCUAAUACCGCAUAAGCGCACAGAGCUGCAUGGCUCAGUGUGAAAAACUCCGGUGGUAUAAGAUGGACCCGCGUUGGAUUAGCUGGUUGGUGGGGUAACGGCCCACCAAGGCGACGAUCCAUAGCCGGCCUGAGAGGGUGAACGGCCACAUUGGGACUGAGACACGGCCCAGACUCCUACGGGAGGCAGCAGUGGGGAAUAUUGCACAAUGGGGGAAAUCCUGAUGCAGCGACGCCGCGUGAGUGAAGAAGUAUCUCGGUAUGUAAAGCUCUAUCAGCAGGGAAGAAAAUGACGGUACCUGACUAAGAAGCCCCGGCUAACUACGUGCCAGCAGCCGCGGUAAUACGUAGGGGGCAAGCGUUAUCCGGAAUUACUGGGUGUAAAGGGAGCGCAGGCGGGAAGACAAGUUGGAAGUGAAAACCAUGGGCUCAACCCAUGAAUUGCUUUCAAAACUGUUUUUCUUGAGUAGUGCAGAGGUAGAUGGAAUUCCCGGUGUAGCGGUGGAAUGCGUAGAUAUCGGGAGGAACACCGAUGGCGAAGGCAGCCUGCUGGGCCGCCACUGACGCUGAGGCGCGAAAGCUGGGGGAGCGAACAGGAUUAGAUACCCUGGUAGUCCAUGCCGUAAACGAUGAUUACUAGGUGUUGGAGGAUUGACCCCUUCAGUGCCGCAGUUAACACAAUAAGUAAUCCACCUGGGGAGUACGACCGCAAGGUUGAAACUCAAAGGAAUUGACGGGGGCCCGCACAAGCAGUGGAGUAUGUGGUUUAAUUCGAAGCAACGCGAAGAACCUUACCAGGUCUUGACAUCCGAUGCAUAGCGCAGAGAUGCGUGAAGUCCUUCGGGACAUCGAGACAGGUGGUGCAUGGUUGUCGUCAGCUCGUGUCGUGAGAUGUUGGGUUAAGUCCCGCAACGAGCGCAACCCUUAUUGCCAGUUACUACGUAAGAGGACUCUGGCGAGACUGCCGUUGACAAAACGGAGGAAGGUGGGGACGACGUCAAAUCAUCAUGCCCCUUAUAUCCUGGGCUACACACGUAAUACAAUGGCGGUCAACAGAGGGAUGCAAAGCCGCGAGGCAGAGCGAACCCCUAAAAGCCGUCCCAGUUCGGAUCGUGGGCUGCAACCCGCCCACGUGAAGUCGGAAUCGCUAGUAAUCGCGGAUCAGCAUGCCGCGGUGAAUACGUUCCCGGGCCUUGCACACACCGCCCGUCA